RNAcentral lists this unclassified non-coding RNA (326 nucleotides) under soil metagenome. RNAcentral describes it as "partial contains 5.8S ribosomal RNA, internal transcribed spacer 2, and large subunit ribosomal RNA". The stretch from base 1 to 120 matches the Rfam family "5.8S ribosomal RNA", at positions 35 to 154 of the family's 154-position model. The record is from RNAcentral.
GAUGAAGAACGUAGCGAAAUGCGAUAAGUAAUGUGAAUUGCAGAAUUCAGUGAAUCAUCGAAUCUUUGAACGCACAUUGCGCCCCUUGGUAUUCCGAGGGGCAUGCCUGUUCGAGCGUCAUAUUAACCACUCCCGCUUGCGGGGUCUUGGGCUUCGCCUCCGGGCGGGCCUUAAAAUCAGUGGCGGUGCCGUCGGGCUCUACGCGUAGUAAAUUUUCUCGCGAUAGGGUCUCGGUGGAUGCUUGCCAACAACCCCCAACUUCUUAAGGUUGACCUCGGAUCAGGUAGGGAUACCCGCUGAACUUAAGCAUAUCAAUAAGCGGAGGA